RNAcentral lists this ribosomal RNA (497 nucleotides) under uncultured bacterium. RNAcentral's name for it is "partial 16S ribosomal RNA". It matches the Rfam family "Bacterial small subunit ribosomal RNA", at positions 28 to 507 of the family's 1533-position model. The record is from RNAcentral.
GAUGAACGCUGGCGGCGUGCCUAACACAUGCAAGUCGAACGGACAGACGCUGCGCUUGUUCCUUUGACGUUAGCGGCAGGCGUGUGAGUAACGCGUGUAUCAUCUACUUAUCUUUCUGGGAUCAUUACGGGAAACCGGCUCUAAUACCAGAUAAUAUAUUGCACCGUAUGGUUCAAUGGAUAAUGACGGCUUUGGUGUAUCUACUCGCUGCUUUCGGGCUGGAUUAGCUAGUUGGUAAGGUAACGGCUUACCAAGGCGACGAUGCGUAGCCGAACUGAGAGGAGGAUAGGCCACACGGGAACUGAGACACGGUCAAGACUACUACGGGAGGCAGCAGUAGGGAAUGUGACGCAAUGGGCGAAAGCCUGACGGAGCAAGGGCGCGUGUGUGAUGAAGGCCUUCGGAUCGUAAAGACCUGUUAUUGGGGAAGAACAGCUGUGGAAGGAAACAUGGAGGUCGUGACGGUAACUAAUAAAAAAGCAACGGCUAACUACGUG